AGUGAACGCUGGCGGUAGGCCUAACACAUGCAAGUCGAACGGCAGCACAGGAGAGCUUGCUCUCUGGGUGGCGAGUGGCGGACGGGUGAGGAAUACAUCGGAAUCUACUUUUUCGUGGGGGAUAACGUAGGGAAACUUACGCUAAUACCGCAUACGACCUACGGGUGAAAGCAGGGGAGCUUCGGACCUUGCGCGAUUGAAUGAGCCGAUGUCGGAUUAGCUAGUUGGCGGGGUAAAGGCCCACCAAGGCGACGAUCCGUAGCUGGUCUGAGGGGAUGAUCGGCCACACUGGAACUGAGACACGGUCCAGACUCCUACGGGAGGCAGCAGUGGGGAAUAUUGGACAAUGGGCGCAAGCCUGAUCCAGCCAUACCGCGUGGGUGAAGAAGGCCUUCGGGUUGUAAAGCCCUUUUGUUGGGAAAGAAAUCCAGCUGGUUAAUACCCGGUUGGGAUGACGGUACCCAAAGAAUAAGCACCGGCUAACUUCGUGCCAGCCGCCGCAGUAA
Molecule: ribosomal RNA, 506 nt
Filed under: uncultured bacterium
Lineage: Bacteria
Description: partial 16S ribosomal RNA
Rfam family: Bacterial small subunit ribosomal RNA
Source: RNAcentral